AAGUGGCGCACGGGUGAGUAACACGUGAAUGAUCUACCUCCGAGUGGGGAAUAACCUAGAGAAAUCUGGGCUAAUACCGCAUAACACUUACGAGUCAAAGCAGCAAUGCGCUUGGAGAGGAGUUCGCGGCCGAUUAGUUAGUUGGCGGGGUAAUGGCCCACCAAGACGAUGAUCGGUAUCCGGCCUGAGAGGGCGCACGGACACACUGGAACUGAAACACGGUCCAGACUCCUACGGGAGGCAGCAGUGGGGAAUUUUGCGCAAUGGGGGAAACCCUGACGCAGCAACGCCGCGUGGAGGAUGAAAUCCCUUGGGAUGUAAACUCCUUUCGAUCGGGACGAUUAUGACGGUACCGGAAGAAGAAGCCCCGGCUAACUUCGUGCCAGCAGCCGCGGUAAUACGAGGGGGGCAAGCGUUGUUCGGAAUCAUUGGGCGUAAAGGGCGCGUAGGCCGGUUGACAAGUCUGAUGUGAAAUCUCUGGGCUCAACU
RNAcentral lists this ribosomal RNA (489 nucleotides) under uncultured bacterium. Its description in RNAcentral is "bacterial SSU rRNA". It matches the Rfam family "Bacterial small subunit ribosomal RNA", at positions 93 to 614 of the family's 1533-position model. The record is from RNAcentral.